AGAAGCAAUGUUAUCAACAAGAUUAUUCAAGGAAAAAGAUUCCGGCAUUGAUCAGAAAUAUCAAGUUGGUGGUCCUCAGAGUUAUCAUAAACUCUUGGAUAAUUCACAACUGUCUGGUCGCAGUGAGGACAAAAUUCUCAGUGAUGGUUGUACUCAUGGAGUUCUGGGAAGACUGAAGGAGGUAAAGAAGAAAUCAAAUAAAAAUCAAAAUGAAAAACUAUCAGUUCUGGGCAAAACCCUUCAAACUGUGGGAAGAUCUUCAGGUAAACUGGAAUAAAAGAUAAGUGGUUCCUCACGCAGGGUUCUUUCCCUGGCGUGAAGAGAAGGAACACGUCUGCCCCGGGGACCACAUGCCUUGUGAACAGCUCCCUGAAGGAGCAGGUGGCGCGGUAAGGCCCUGGGGAGAGCAGCAGGGAGCUGCACAGGAGUCUCCUGGUGGCUGUCCAUGCGGGACACCCGGCCCACCGAGUCCAGAUCCGAGGAGUCCUGGGCCGAGUACACGAUGUCCCCUCCCACUCCCAGCCAAACUGAGCGAGGGGCCACUCCUCUUUCCCAGGAUCAACCGGGACGCCUGAGGCCACUGUCACAUGCCUGUGUUGGCAGUUGCCUGGCCCUGGUGCCCAGGCCCGGGAGGUCCCCAACCUCCGUCAGACGGCCCUUGCUGCACGCAGCCUCCCACCUGGGGCUGAGUCUCACAUCGGGGGGGCCACCUCCCACCCCUCCUCACUGCCUUCUCAGGUACGACUUCCUAACUGCUGAGGUUGGCCCAAGCAUGUCCUCCCGUGGCUUCUCCCCCGAGCCCCACACUUCUCCCUGGAACUUUCCGGAACACCUCCGAGCCUCUUCUCCAGGCCAGUCCUCCUCCCGUCCUCCUGUCCCCCCGAGGCAGACCUCCGUGGACACGUUGCUGGCUCUAACCCACACCCAGCAUUCCACACGCCACACAUCUGCCCACGACCCUAAGUCUGCGUUGGUUUCAGGGACACAUCGCACCAUCACUUUCAAGCUGAUGUCAGGGAAACUACUGAGGCCUUGGGACACGGGCUGUGCUAGGCCACGUCAGUCGGUUUUUUGUAGAUCCAAACGUUUACACCCGGUCACCUUCAUUCAACCUUCAUCUGAUGUUUCUUGAGCACCUACUCUGCGCCGGCCCUGUUCUGAGUUCUCUGGAUUUAUCCCUGCAGACACAGACACCCCUGCCCUCACGGAGCCCACGUUCUAGGGGCUAGAUGUGCCCCACCGUUCCAGCCUGUUGGGAAACUUCUGGGUCCCGACUAUUCCUGCUCCUCCAGCCCCGAUCAUGCUCGAGGAGGCAGCCUGCCGUCUCGUCCUGGUUUAAAUGCCAACGAGGAUGGGGCCCCAGACACGUCACGAGGGGCCUCCCAGUUGCACAAGCUGCUGCCAAGCAUAGGCCGGGAGCUGCUCUGAAGUGGGGCCCCCCACUUCAGACUUGGCGGGGUCAGAGCCAGGCCUGGGCCCUGAAACCCCGGGCCCCAUGGUCUGCACCUCCUCCCACCGCAGGACUGGCCGACGCAAGCAGGGGAAGAGAGGGAGGUCAGUGGUCGCUCAGCCUGCUGCAAGUUUACCAGCCCGUCCUUCACCAGCCAAUUCCCGCUGCUCCAGAUACAGAUGUCAAGGGGGCCUUUGGCAAAUCCCAGCUCCCUGGGACACGAGUGCUCCUACAGGAGAAUGAUAAGGUCUCCCGACAUUCUUUCCAGUAAAUGGAAGAGGAAGAGCAUGGCUCAGAAGAGGCGCAGAGCGGUCAGCACGGCCGCCAGCUCCGAGGGGCUCCCUACAGCAGGAAACCCACCCACCCACCCCACCUCAGGAAUAAAGGACUUAUGUAGACACACAGGUAUGGUUAGCCACCCAUAGAAGGAGAGCUGUUUCGUUCAUGAAAUCCGAAGAAGAGUUCACUUAUUUAGACCAUUUAUUUAGACGUCAAGCUAGAGGGUAUGUGGGUUUCUUUUCGUUGUUUUUUUCUAAGGGAAACAAGAAAAUUAUCAAGUCCGAGAAGACCACCAUUGAAAGGUUCCUCUUUUCUAACAGAAUAAGGUCUGAGGAAGGUUAGCCUCAGAGCUUCUGAGAAUUCUGUCCAUGAUGAACCAGAGUUUGUAGUGGCCUGCAGGCCAGCUGCCCGGCUCCCUCCUCCUGCAGCCGCAGAAACGUGCACAUGCACGUCUGCAAAACACACACUCAGUUUCCCUGCGCCGUAGUGUUUACAGGCCUGGGAAAGUGCAGAGUGGGUCUCUGUGGCAUGGGAGAGGAAAGUGCGCCCCAAGUGGGGUGUCCGCCCCACAGCACUUUCUGGGGGGCGACUGAACAUAUCUUCCGGCAAGUCUGCUCGUCCAAGCCCAUCCUGACCGUGGGCAGGCUCCAUGGCUGCAGACUCAUGAGGUGCCCAGGCUGGAAAGAGUUACUCAGGACAGGUGUGGUUGUCCCGUUUCUCCACAAAGGCAGGUCCGGGGAAGUUAGUGAAUGCUGUACUAGAACGAGCCUGGAUAGAGAACUCCCGUCCUGAGACACAGUCUUGGCAAUGGAUUGGUAUUCGUU
Molecule: long non-coding RNA, 2553 nt
Organism: Equus asinus (donkey)
Lineage: Eukaryota; Metazoa; Chordata; Mammalia; Perissodactyla; Equidae
Source: Ensembl